GUGUGCCGACUAAGGAUGUUGGGGAAGGAUGUGGAACAAAGCCCAGCCUCCUAGCACAUACCAGCAACCUCCUGGGAGGACCCAAGCUGCUCCAAUCUCUCGGAUCCUUGAGAGGCUUUGCCCACUCCAUGUGAAGGCCCCAGGAGAAACCUGAGUCCCAAAGAGAUCUGCCCUGGGAUUAUCAGCCCUUUUCACAGGACAAGCCAGUCACAUGAAAGACCCAUCUGGCUAUGUCCACAUGAUCAGGAACAGAAGGCAGAAGGAUGUAACUCUUGGACUGUGCUCAUCAGCUGAAACACGGAUGUGACCCAAGACCCAUUGAAGGAUCAACAGCUAAAUGAAAUGCAGGAUCCAAUGGCCUUAAAAAGGAAGGAUAGCUGAUGUAUUUAUUGUACAAGAGGACUGAAACUUAAUUCCCAGCAUGCACAUGGAGGCUCACAACCAACCAUAGCUUCCUGAGGAUCCAACAACCUGUCUUCCCCAGGUACCAGAUAUGCACAUAGUGCAGAGACAUGAAUGCAGCCAAAACAACACAUACAUAAAAUGAUAGUGGUAAGGCCUGAA
Long non-coding RNA from Mastomys coucha (southern multimammate mouse), 564 nucleotides. RefSeq lists it as uncharacterized. NCBI's taxonomy places the organism in Eukaryota, Metazoa, Chordata, Mammalia, Rodentia, Muridae. The transcript has 4 exons. The record is from RefSeq and is a predicted model, not a curated record.